GACAGAGGUGGCGACCGUUGUUCGGAAUCACUGGGCAUAAAGCGCGUGUAGGUGGCAUUGUAAGUCGGGUGUGAAAUCCCUCGGCCUAACCGAGGAAUUGCGCCCGAAACUACUUUGCUUGAGGACGGGAGGGGAGCCUGGAAUUCCUGGUGGAGCGGUGAAAUGCGUUGAUAUCAGGAGGAACAUCGGCGGCGAAGGCGGGUUGCUGGGCCGACACUGACGCUGAUGCGCGAAAGCCAGGGGAGCGAACGGG
RNAcentral lists this ribosomal RNA (253 nucleotides) under uncultured bacterium. RNAcentral's name for it is "partial 16S ribosomal RNA". It matches the Rfam family "Bacterial small subunit ribosomal RNA", at positions 524 to 776 of the family's 1533-position model. The record is from RNAcentral.